Molecule: ribosomal RNA, 1624 nt
Filed under: metagenome
Description: bacterial LSU rRNA
Rfam family: Bacterial large subunit ribosomal RNA
Source: RNAcentral
AAAAAAAAACACCCACGCCGAAAGACCAAGGGUUCCUGCGCAACGUUAAUCGACGCAGGGUUAGUCGGUUCCUAAGGCGAGGCUGAAAAGCGUAGUCGAUGGGAAACAGGUUAAUAUUCCUGUACUUCUGGUUACUGCGAUGGAGGGACGGAGAAGGCUAGGCCAGCUUGGCGUUGGUUGUCCAAGUUUAAGGUGGUAGGCUGAAAUCUUAGGUAAAUCCGGGGUUUCAAGGCCGAGAGCUGAUGACGAGUCGUCUUUUAGAUGACGAAGUGGUUGAUGCCAUGCUUCCAAGAAAAGCUUCUAAGCUUCAGGUAACCAGGAACCGUACCCCAAACCGACACAGGUGGUCGGGUAGAGAAUACCAAGGCGCUUGAGAGAACUCGGGUGAAGGAACUAGGCAAAAUGGCACCGUAACUUCGGGAGAAGGUGCGCCGGCUAGGGUGAAGGAUUUACUCCGUAAGCUCUGGCUGGUCGAAGAUACCAGGCCGCUGCGACUGUUUAUUAAAAACACAGCACUCUGCAAACACGAAAGUGGACGUAUAGGGUGUGACGCCUGCCCCGGUGCCGGAAGGUUAAUUGAUGGGGUUAGCGCAAGCGAAGCUCUUGAUCGAAGCCCCGGUAAACGGCGGCCGUAACUAUAACGGUCCUAAGGUAGCGAAAUUCCUUGUCGGGUAAGUUCCGACCUGCACGAAUGGCGUAACGAUGGCGGCGCUGUCUCCACCCGAGACUCAGUGAAAUUGAAAUCGCUGUGGAGAUGCAGUGUAUCCGCGGCUAGACGGAAAGACCCCGUGAACCUUUACUGUAGCUUUGCACUGGACUUUGAGCCUGCUUGUGUAGGAUAGGUGGGAGGCUUUGAAGCGUGGACGCCAGUUCGCGUGGAGCCAUCCUUGAAAUACCACCCUGGCAUGCUUGAGGUUCUAACUCUGGUCCGUAAUCCGGAUCGAGGACAGUGUAUGGUGGGCAGUUUGACUGGGGCGGUCUCCUCCUAAAGAGUAACGGAGGAGUACGAAGGUGCGCUCAGACCGGUCGGAAAUCGGUCGCAGAGUAUAAAGGCAAAAGCGCGCUUGACUGCGAGACAGACACGUCGAGCAGGUACGAAAGUAGGUCUUAGUGAUCCGGUGGUUCUGUAUGGAAGGGCCAUCGCUCAACGGAUAAAAGGUACUCCGGGGAUAACAGGCUGAUACCGCCCAAGAGUUCAUAUCGACGGCGGUGUUUGGCACCUCGAUGUCGGCUCAUCACAUCCUGGGGCUGAAGCCGGUCCCAAGGGUAUGGCUGUUCGCCAUUUAAAGUGGUACGCGAGCUGGGUUUAGAACGUCGUGAGACAGUUCGGUCCCUAUCUGCCGUGGACGUUUGAGAUUUGAGAGGGGCUGCUCCUAGUACGAGAGGACCGGAGUGGACGAACCUCUGGUGUUCCGGUUGUCACGCCAGUGGCAUUGCCGGGUAGCUAUGUUCGGAAAAGAUAACCGCUGAAAGCAUCUAAGCGGGAAACUUGCCUCAAGAUGAGAUCUCACUGGGAACUUGAUUCCCCUGAAGGGCCGUCGAAGACUACGACGUUGAUAGGCUGGGUGUGUAAGCGUUGUGAGGCGUUGAGCUAACCAGUACUAAUUGCCCGUGAGGCUUGAUC